Molecule: ribosomal RNA, 480 nt
Filed under: uncultured bacterium
Lineage: Bacteria
Description: bacterial SSU rRNA
Rfam family: Bacterial small subunit ribosomal RNA
Source: RNAcentral
UUGAACGCUGGCGGCAUGCCUUACACAUGCAAGUCGAACGGUAACGCGGGGCAACCUGGCGACGAGUGGCGAACGGGUGAGUAAUACAUCGGAACGUGCCCAGUAGUGGGGGAUAGCCCGGCGAAAGCCGGAUUAAUACCGCAUACGACCUAAGGGAGAAAGCGGGGGAUCGCAAGACCUCGCGCGAUUGGAGCGGCCGAUAUCGGAUUAGCUAGUUGGUGAGGUAAAGGCUCACCAAGGCGACGAUCCGUAGCGGGUCUGAGAGGACGACCCGCCACACUGGAACUGAGACACGGUCCAGACUCCUACGGGAGGCAGCAGUGGGGAAUUUUGGACAAUGGGGGAAACCCUGAUCCAGCCAUUCCGCGUGAGUGAAGAAGGCCUUCGGGUUGUAAAGCUCUUUCAGCAGGAACGAAACGGUCGGCUUUAAUAAAGUCGGCUAAUGACGGUACCUGCAGAAGAAGCACCGGCUAACUACGU